UUUUUUCGAGCUAAAUUAAUGGCUGCUGUUUGAUAACAGCUGGACGGCUAUGUGAACGAUUAAGACGUUCUCUGGUUUUAUAUAAUAUGUGGAUUAUUGCUUUAAUUUACUCCAGUCUUAUAUUUAGUUAUUGACCUCAGAACACGGAAUGCAGCUAGCGGCUUAAUGCUAGGUAACAGCAGAACUCAGCAGGAUUGGAGCUUGUUAGCUUGGAUGCUAACUAUUUCCGAGCUGAAUUAAUCACUGGUGUUUGAUAUCAGUAGGGCGUCACUGUGCUGGUUAGAUAUGAGAUCAACUAUAUCUACAAUUACAGCAAACAAAGACCAAAGUAUGUGCAUUAGAUACCUACAAGGGCUGGACAGGACAGUGGACAAGCUGGAGGUUCAGCUAAGCUGAUUCAACUUCCUGUAAUUGGUCCCGUUUAGAAAAGCUUUCACAGAACUGGACUGUGGUUUCCGGCUCCUUUCACACCUGCUUAUUUGCUUUGGACCCAACAAGGACCGACUUGGAAAACUCUGUGGGUGUAGGAGAGUCUGCUGCUGGCUUGUCGGCUCCUGCCUCGCCUCCUGAGCCGGAGGUUGGGAUCACUUGGCCUGCCGCGAGGGAACAACAGUCAUACCUGGAACAGCAGUGAAGAACUUGACUGCAUCUCGAUGACCAUGGAAACAGAGCUGAGCGUGGGCCAUGGAGCAAAAAGGUACAAAUGUGCCCGGCGUCACUUUAUCACUGUUCUCAUCACCGUAGACACGAACCACGUUGCCUGGCCGGUUGGACGCUCCUUGGGUGGCUUUCUUCGCUUUUUCAGGAAAAUGCACAUCUCAAGACCUUACCAUAAAGACGCAGAUGCAAUGCCAUCAGCUGUCGCAUCACCAGACCUAUACCUGAUUGUAAAUGUAUGGGCUUUAACUAGCUGGACAUGCCAUCAGUACUCUACCCCUACUGCAAAAUCUGCAGAUACUGUGUUUUAAACAUAAAGCAUGAGCUGGAUUGAUGGAUUAUCACAGGACACCAUUAGAAAUCUCUACAUCUCCAAGCCAAGACAUCUGGCAUGUGUACUCAGAAAACAGAACAGAAGUGCCUGUAGUGACAUUUCUGGUAAUCUGCCAGUGUACAAGAUUGCACUCCACAGACCUUUUAACGCAUGAUGUGUGAAAAGGAAAAAAAAAAAAAAAACUGACAAAAGCAGGACUCGUCACUAAAGAGGUCCCAGUGCCAUUCUGAGCCACUUCAUGACAGUCUGGCACAACAACCAGAGUUUCAUUUCUGGCAGUUGAUUUCUUCUGGAUGCACUAUUAAUCUAAAAGGUCUACUAAAAGCAAGCAAACUAACUAAUCUACAGGCAUGUAAAUGUUCUAGUAAACUUGUAUAGCUGGUAAAUAGUGAGAAGAAGAUGCGCUACAAAGUACAUACUGUCAGUUAGAGGUAUGGAGAUGAUGACACCGUUCCCUGUUCCAAUCCAUAGGCGAUUACACGACACCGUCAAUGCUGUGAUCCUUACAAAGGAGAAGCCCAGCUUACCAGUGCCUGAACCAGAAAAAAAAAAUACUUAGCCUAAUAAGACAGAAGACAAAUGAAUAGAGCACAGCAAAAGCAAAAUAAAAGGAAAAAAAAAAAAUCACCGAGCAUCUUGCUGACAUAGGGCUCUAUGUCCACAUCCUGCAGAUGUUGGUAGGUGUGAGCAUGAAACAAUCGGAGUGUGGAAUCCAGACGGAUAGACACCCAGAUGCCAUCACCAUCCCAUGCUAGUUGCCUCACUUGACUCUCUUUGCGAGGGUGGGCAUCAAAGGAUUUCUGUAUAUUGAGAAGAGAGCAGAAAAGAUAAGAGUUGGUAAUUUUCUGUGAAACUUUGACAGGUAACUGGUUUGAUAACAGCACAAUUUAUAAUACCUCUAUCUUCAUAGCUUUAGGCUGGAUGACGUAGAUCUUGUUUCUGUAGCCACACCACACUUUAUCGUGCACCACGGUCAUGCAGCGGAUUGAGUGAUGAGGCCGGCCCAGAUCUAACAAGUGGUAGUUGGUCAAAUCCCACUGACCAUCU
This is a long non-coding RNA of Astyanax mexicanus (Mexican tetra), 2038 nucleotides long. RefSeq lists it as uncharacterized. The record is from RefSeq and is a predicted model, not a curated record. NCBI's taxonomy places the organism in Eukaryota, Metazoa, Chordata, Actinopteri, Characiformes, Acestrorhamphidae. The transcript is spliced from 7 exons.